ACCUGCGGACGGAUCAUUAC
Molecule: ribosomal RNA, 20 nt
Filed under: unidentified
Description: Aspergillus parvisclerotigenus partial 18S ribosomal RNA
Source: RNAcentral